GCCCCUCUCCCAUCAGCCUGGGCUCCUGCUGCUCAGAAGCUGAGCAGUCCCGCGGGAAACAGGAGGCCUAGCACUUGGAAAUACCAAACCUGCGUCGGAGCAGUGGACAGAUUGAUAGCUCCAACUGUGGUUUGUAAUGCAUAUCCAUGCUUGGUACUAAGGCUGUGGGACGUCACAUCAUGGACAAGGUGCUGAUGUUACAGUGAGCAACGUACUCAACAACACCCUUGAAGAGAAUUGUAGAAGGAUGCCUGCCUUUACAACCCUGCACCAUGCUCUGAGAACGUCUGCGGAUUGACCCCAUGGAGAUGCCCAUGUGGAGAGGAGCUGAGACCCCCAGGUGACAGCCAGCACCAACCCCCAGAUAUGUGCAUGAGGGAGCUUGCAGGUGAUGCCAGCAUCAGUCUCAAGUCUCCCAGCUGAGGACUCAGUCGUAACGGAUCAAGGGCAGGUUUUC
This is a long non-coding RNA of Myotis davidii, 457 nucleotides long. RefSeq lists it as uncharacterized. NCBI's taxonomy places the organism in Eukaryota, Metazoa, Chordata, Mammalia, Chiroptera, Vespertilionidae. The record is from RefSeq and is a predicted model, not a curated record. The transcript is spliced from 3 exons.